This is a long non-coding RNA of Tachysurus vachellii, 1050 nucleotides long. RefSeq lists it as uncharacterized. The record is from RefSeq and is a predicted model, not a curated record. The transcript is spliced from 4 exons. NCBI's taxonomy places the organism in Eukaryota, Metazoa, Chordata, Actinopteri, Siluriformes, Bagridae.
UUCGCUCACAAUGUAAUGCUAACAGGAGUUAACUUACAGGCUGUGAGUAAAAGCAGGAGGAAUUAUGAUAAUGUUGGUCUUUACUACAUCAACGGUCCCAGGAAGUAAACUGUUGCCUACAAUCUGUGUUUGUUGAAGUCCAAGAAAAGAGAUUUACGUUGGAGACAAUAACUUGCGUCAUCGUUUACUUUUGGGUAUUUUUUCACACUUCACUCUUCUAACGGAUGUCCCCAUCCUUAUGAAGUUGUGAGAGGCCCUGGAUAAGAACUACAACACCAUCCUGAAGUUCUUCCAAGGAGUCAACUACCAAGGAGUGAAAGAUGUUUUGACUACUUUUGAACCAGAGGCAUCAGAUAAGACUGCAAUCGUUCUACUUCUUCUGAUGGCUUACUUCAAAGAGCCAAAGGAUUCCAUUGUGCUUGAUGUUGAUGUGACACAUUGAAGCUGAGGGCAUGGAUGCUGUCGCUGGAGGGUCAAGUGGUCAUGGGACCUCACCCUGGCUUUACAACUGGUCUGGCGGCCACUUUUGCCAGUUACUAUAAUUUUAAUUUAAAGUAUGCUGACAGCGGUUCUUGCACUCUGGAAUUCAUUCAAAGGCGCUUUUUGGGCAUUAAUCCGGAGACAGGUACAAAGUCAAAGAAGCAGAAAGGACUCCUCAACCAGCAAGUCUGUACACUCACUCACUCAUUUUCUACCGCUUAUCUGAACUACCUCGGGUCACAGGGAGCCUGUGCCUAUCUCAGGACUCAUCGGGCAUCAAGGCAGGAUACACCCUGGACGGAGUGCCAACCCAUCACAGGGCGCACACACACUCUCAUUCACUCACGCAAUCACACACUAGGGACAAUUUUCCAGAGAUGCCAAUCAACCUACCAUGCAUGUCUUUGGACCGGGGGAGGAAACCGGAGUACCCGGAGGAAACCCCCGAGGCACGGGGAGAACUUGCAAACUCCACACACACGAGGCGGAGGCGGGAAUCGAACCCCCAACCCUGGAGGUGUGAGGCGAACGUGCUAACCACUAAGCCACCGUGCCCCCCAAGUCUGUACA